GCGUGUUUGCACUCACGUUGGGGGGGGUGUGCAUGUGUUGGGCUGCCUCAUGCCUUUGCUCAACAGAUGCUGAACAGGCCCAGCACGUAAGAAUGUAGCAGGGAACAAGGAGGUGGAACCUGCCUCAGGCCUCUCAGGCUGUGGGGGAGGCAAACCAGAUGUUACCGGGGAUGCACAGGCAGACACAGGAGCCCACUGAUGGGCCCCGGCCCGGGGAAUCGCAACAGAAGCUGAAGGCAGGGAAUGAUCGCAGCGGCCUACAGAUGGGACUCCCGGCCCCCAGCCUUGCGCCUGUCAAUCUGCUCUCCACACCAUAGUCAGAGGCAUGGUCCUAAAAUGCAAAUGUGAUUGCCUGUUCCUAAUGAGGAGGGCGGGCUAGAGGAGUACUUCUCGCAGCUUGGCCCCUGGACCAGUGGCAGCAACGACAUCUGGGAACGUGCUAGAAAUGAAAACUCUCUGACCCCACUGGAGACCUGCUGUAUCGCACGCGCCGGGUGGACCCAGCAGUCUGUCUGGACGCAGCCUCCGGGGGAUUCUGAUGCUGCUCAAGUGUGAGAACCGCUGGGCUGGCUGCCCUCAUCCCAGGUCUCUCCCCAGGCUUACUUCCACCUGUCGGGCACCCGCUGCCUAGGCACAGGUGAAUGAGGUGUGGCGUCAACACUGAAACGUCACCUCCGCUCCCUGGACGGCUACCUCCCACUUGUCCCUUAACGCCAGCUCCGAUGACAUCUCCUGCGGAAAUGGUCCCAGACGGCCCUCCCGCCAGCUCCUCAGACAGAGGGAGUCAGGUGCCCUCUGCUCCCCCCGCACCUGCUCCUCCGGUGUGGCCGCCGUGGACAGCACAUUCCCUCGUUUGUAGGUCAGUCUCUCCCGCCGAAUGGUGGGACCAAAGGGGAGGGGCUGGGCUGGUCCCUCCUUGGUCCCCACAGCACCACGGGCUGUACUGCCCAGGCUCUCAAGGCCCCACUGAGCAGCCAUCCCCUCCGAGAAGCCGCCAGGGGCCCACCACGCCCACGGCCGCAUCCCGGAGCUUUCCUUUGGCAAAUGUUGCAAGUUGGAGGCCCCUCUACCCCCGGCCUGGGGACCUGACACACACACAGCCCGGUUCUCCCUCUUAGAAGGUCUGAAGAUGCAAUACACAGAGGGGUCGUGCCCUGGCCUUGGGGACACACAGAGAGAAGGCAGAGCACAGCAGCCACGAGGCAGCCGCAGCCACCAUGAAGUUGUGUGUGUGUGUGUGUGUGUGUGUGUGUGUGUGUGUGUGUGUCUGUAUGUGUGUUUCUGUGUGUGUGUGUGUAGAGGGAGGAGCUGACCUUCCCCUCUGUGUCUCGUGGGAGCUGCCAAGGCCCCCGCCACCACCCAGGUCCACUCACAGGACUCACACGUGCUCUUAGCGCCUGUUUUCCAGGAGGAGAUGGUUGGGAGAAAGACGCACUGGACGUGGGUCUGAGAGAUGGAGCCUGGCUCCACCUGUGCCAGCCAGGGCUGCUUCACCUUUCUAGUUCUCAGUUACUACCCCAUUUUACAGAUGAAGAAACUGAGGGUGUUAGGAGUGACGGAUACCUGCUGUCAGGUUGGUGGAUCAAUCAUCCAACGGGGGGAGGGGUCGGUGAUUCAUUAAUCCAUCCACUAAUCAAUC
This is a long non-coding RNA of Physeter macrocephalus (sperm whale), 1639 nucleotides long. RefSeq lists it as uncharacterized. The transcript has 3 exons. The record is from RefSeq and is a predicted model, not a curated record. NCBI's taxonomy places the organism in Eukaryota, Metazoa, Chordata, Mammalia, Artiodactyla, Physeteridae.